Long non-coding RNA from Carassius auratus (goldfish), 811 nucleotides. RefSeq lists it as uncharacterized. The transcript is spliced from 4 exons. The record is from RefSeq and is a predicted model, not a curated record. Lineage: Eukaryota; Metazoa; Chordata; Actinopteri; Cypriniformes; Cyprinidae.
UUGAAGCCCUGCUCCAGAAGCUCCAGCUCUGUCUGGCGAGGGUCCUUCCUCUGCAGUCUUCUCAAAGCCCUGAGAGAGGACGUUAAACACACACACUAGCUGAUUGGCUCACAUUGAGAAAGGCACACUAAAUACAGGUGUCAUCAAACCUGUUUUUGUGUUGGAUGUUGAUUAAAUAUUCAUCCAGCUUCUCCUCAGCCGAGGAGUGUUUCCCUCCCCUGCUCCUCCUGAGCUCCUGCAGACAAUACAACUCUCAGUCAAUCUGAACAAUAUCAGACACAGAGAAACAGAGACAUGCAACUUUUGUCUUCUCAAAAACAGUAAAUGAUGGACUGGAGUGCUGUGGAUGAUUGUGAUGUUUUUUAUCAGCUGUUUGGACUCAUUCUGACGGCACCCAUUCACUGCAGAGCAUCCAUUGAUGAGACACUGAUGCAUUUUCACCAAAUUUUACGAAAUUCCCCAAUCCGUCUUCAUCUUGAAUGGCAUCUGGAUACUAGAGAGGAGCGAGAAACCAGAAGAGAAGAGAGAAAACGGACAGAGAAGAGAAGAUAAAGUGUAAGUAAGGUUUACAGCGAACAAACUAGGAGUUUUGCUCUUGAUUUGGAAGAAGAUGAUUUCAAUACGCAGCUUGUGUGUUUCUGUCAGGUGUCCACUGCACAUGACGCAUCCAAUCACAAUUCAGAGAGGUGAUUAUGAUUACAAUCAUCAUCAUUUUUUGCUUUGUUCCUCCAUGUCAAAUUUGUGUUAUGCAUUACUUUAUUAUUUUAAUAUUUUCUUUUCGUUUUAAUUUAAGUUUAAGUCAUUUUGUUGU